Molecule: ribosomal RNA, 97 nt
Filed under: Ignavibacteria bacterium
Lineage: Bacteria; Pseudomonadati; Ignavibacteriota; Ignavibacteria
Also listed under: 1 other name
Description: partial 16S ribosomal RNA
Rfam family: Bacterial small subunit ribosomal RNA
Source: RNAcentral
ACUACGGAGAGUUUGAUCCUGGCUCAGGACGAACGCUGGCGGCGUGCUUAACACAUGCAAGUCUACGAGAAUAAGGUAGCAAUAUCUUUAGUAAAGU